UGGCCCUAUAGCUCUUUUGGAAUUUGUCUAACAGGUUUUUCAGUUUUUACCAGAAAAUCUCCCAC
Nomascus leucogenys (northern white-cheeked gibbon) is the source of this 65-nucleotide non-coding RNA. The record is from Rfam. NCBI's taxonomy places the organism in Eukaryota, Metazoa, Chordata, Mammalia, Primates, Hylobatidae.